AUUGAACGCUGGCGGCAUGCCUUACACAUGCAGGUCGAACGGCAGCACGGGUGCUUGCACCUGGUGGCGAGUGGCGAACGGGUGAGUAAUACAUCGGAACAUGUCCUGUAGUGGGGGAUAGCCCGGCGAAAGCCGGAUUAAUACCGCAUACGAUCCACGGAUGAAAGCGGGGGACCUUCGGGCCUCGCGCUAUAGGGUUGGCCGAUGGCUGAUUAGCUAGUUGGUGGGGUAAAGGCCUACCAAGGCGACGAUCAGUAGCUGGUCUGAGAGGACGACCAGCCACGCUGGGACUGAGACACGGCCCAGACUCCUACGGGAGGCAGCAGUGUGGAAUUUUGGACAAUGGGCGAAAGCCUGAUCCAGCAAUGCCGCGUGUGUGAAGAAGGCCUUCGGGUUGUAAAGCACUUUUGUCCGGAAAGAAAUCCUUGACUCUAAUACAGUCGGGGGAUGACGGUACCGGAAGAAUAAGCACCGGCUAACUACGUG
Molecule: ribosomal RNA, 486 nt
Filed under: uncultured bacterium
Lineage: Bacteria
Description: partial 16S ribosomal RNA
Rfam family: Bacterial small subunit ribosomal RNA
Source: RNAcentral